CUGGUUGAUCCUGCCAGUAGUUAUAUGCUUGUCUCAAAGAUUAAGCCAUGCAUGUCUAAGUAUAAGCAAUUUAUACAGUGAAACUGCGAAUGGCUCAUUAAAUCAGUUAUCGUUUAUUUGAUAGUACCUUACUACUUGGAUAACCGUGGUAAUUCUAGAGCUAAUACAUGCUUAAAAUCCCGACUGUUUGGAAGGGAUGUAUUUAUUAGAUAAAAAAUCAAWGUCUUCGGACUCUUUGAUGAUUCAUAAUAACUUUUCGAAUCGCAUGGCCUUGUGCUGGCGAUGGUUCAUUCAAAUUUCUGCCCUAUCAACUUUCGAUGGUAGGAUAGUGGCCUACCAUGGUUUCAACGGGUAACGGGGAAUAAGGGUUCGAUUCCGGAGAGGGAGCCUGAGAAACGGCUACCACAUCCAAGGAAGGCAGCAGGCGCGCAAAUUACCCAAUCCCGACACGGGGAGGUAGUGACAAUAAAUAACGAUACAGGGCCCUUUCGGGUCUUGUAAUUGGAAUGAGUACAAUGUAAAUACCUUAACGAGAACAAUUGGAGGGCAAGUCUGGU
Molecule: ribosomal RNA, 557 nt
Filed under: uncultured eukaryote
Lineage: Eukaryota
Description: SSU rRNA
Rfam family: Eukaryotic small subunit ribosomal RNA
Source: RNAcentral